UACGUAGGGCGCGAGCGUUGUCCGGAAUUAUUGGGCGUAAAGAGCUCGUAGGCGGUGUGUCACGUCGGCCGUGAAAACCUGCAGCUUAACUGUGGGCGUGCGGUCGAUACGGGCAUCACUGGAGUUCGGCAGGGGAGACUGGAAUUCCUGGUGUAGCGGUGAAAUGCGCAGAUAUCAGGAGGAACACCGGUGGCGAAGGCGACUUCCUGGCCUGUUCUUGACGCUGAGGCGCGAAAGCUAGGGUAGCAAACGGG
This 254-nucleotide ribosomal RNA is filed under the name uncultured bacterium. RNAcentral describes it as "partial 16S ribosomal RNA". It matches the Rfam family "Bacterial small subunit ribosomal RNA", at positions 524 to 776 of the family's 1533-position model. The record is from RNAcentral.